GUGGAUGUAGCUCAGGGGUAGAGCAUCGGUUUGUGGUUCCGAGGGUCGCGGGUUCAAAUCCCGUCUUCCACC
RNAcentral lists this transfer RNA (72 nucleotides) under Spirochaetales bacterium. RNAcentral describes it as "tRNA-His". It matches the Rfam family "tRNA". From Rfam's summary of the family: Transfer RNA (tRNA) molecules are approximately 80 nucleotides in length. Their secondary structure includes four short double-helical elements and three loops (D, anti-codon, and T loops). The record is from RNAcentral. Lineage: Bacteria; Pseudomonadati; Spirochaetota; Spirochaetia; Spirochaetales.